AUUAAGUUUGAUAAACAUUGAAAAUGGGCUGAAAAGCCCGAGUAAGAAAAUUAAUUUUCAUUUUAGAAGUUAUAGGACAGUAAUUUUUCCAAACCAUGAGGGGUGUGUAUGUGUGUGUGUGUGAAUGUGUUUGUGUUAAUGAGCUUGUUAACAAUAAGUUGUACAAAAUUAUUAGUUAGCAGUAACCAGUUUUCAAGGAAUAUUGGCCUUCCUGGGCUUCCCAAGAAAACCUUGGACACUUUUGGUAGAAAAGUUGGGAUUCACUCUCCAUAAAUCUGGCAUUGAAAAAAUGAUUCAACAGUGGUCAUGAUUCUAGUUUUGACCAAGCUACAUAUAACAGUGUAGGCAUCUGAUGUAGGAUCUAUGUAUUAGGUUAGAAAAUUUCCCUUACAACUGCCAUUGCUCAGCACAAAUUAUAGAGAGGUUAAACAAGGAAUAAAUGGCAAAAUGAUGAAUAAGAAUAUGACCUGAUUUGCAUGCUGGCAAAUGAGAAUUCAGCUUUUACUUCAAC
RNAcentral lists this long non-coding RNA (511 nucleotides) under Homo sapiens (human). Its description in RNAcentral is "HSALNT0185640". The record is from RNAcentral. Lineage: Eukaryota; Metazoa; Chordata; Mammalia; Primates; Hominidae.